AGUGAACGCUGGCGGUAGGCCUAACACAUGCAAGUCGAACGGCAGCACAGUAAGAGCUUGCUCUUACGGGUGGCGAGUGGCGGACGGGUGAGGAAUACAUCGGAAUCUACUUUUUCGUGGGGGAUAACGUAGGGAAACUUACGCUAAUACCGCAUACGACCUACGGGUGAAAGCAGGGGAUCUUCGGACCUUGCGCGAUUGAAUGAGCCGAUGUCGGAUUAGCUAGUUGGCGGGGUAAAGGCCCACCAAGGCGACGAUCCGUAGCUGGUCUGAGAGGAUGAUCAGCCACAAUGGAAAUGAGACACGGUCCAGACUCCUACGGGAGGCAGCAGUGGGGAAUAUUGGACAAUGGGCGCAAGCCUGAUCCAGCCAUACCGCGUGGGUGAAGAAGGCCUUCGGGUUGUAAAGCCCUUUUGUUGGGAAAGAAAAGCAGCAGGUUAAUACCCCGCUGUUCUGACGGUACCCAAAGAAUAAGCACCGGCUAACUUCGU
Molecule: ribosomal RNA, 491 nt
Filed under: uncultured bacterium
Lineage: Bacteria
Description: partial 16S ribosomal RNA
Rfam family: Bacterial small subunit ribosomal RNA
Source: RNAcentral